This 433-nucleotide ribosomal RNA is filed under the name uncultured bacterium. RNAcentral's name for it is "partial 16S ribosomal RNA". It matches the Rfam family "Bacterial small subunit ribosomal RNA", at positions 29 to 507 of the family's 1533-position model. The record is from RNAcentral.
AAUGAACGCUGGCGGCAUGCCUAACACAUGCAAGUCGAACGAAGGCUUCGGCCUUAGUGGCGCACGGGUGCGUAACGCGUGGGAAUCUGCCCCUUGGUUCGGAAUAACAGUUGGAAACGACUGCUAAUACCGGAUGACGACGUAAGUCCAAAGAUUUAUCGCCGAGGGAUGAGCCCGCGUAGGAUUAGGUAGUUGGUGUGGUAAAGGCGCACCAAGCCGACGAUCCUUAGCUGGUCUGAGAGGAUGAUCAGCCACACUGGGACUGAGACACGGCCCAGACUCCUACGGGAGGCAGCAGUGGGGAAUAUUGGACAAUGGGCGAAAGCCUGAUCCAGCAAUGCCGCGUGAGUGAUGAAGGCCUUAGGGUUGUAAAGCUCUUUUACCCGGGAUGAUAAUGACAGUACCGGGAGAAUAAGCUCCGGCUAACUCCGUG